GGCUCAGGAUUAACGCUAGCGGCAGGCCUAAUACAUGCAAGUCGAACGGCAGCGGGUCCAGCAAUGGAUGCCGGCGAGUGGCGCACGGGUGCGUAACGCGUAUGCAAUCUACCUUUAACUGGAGGAUAGCCCCGAGAAAUCGGGAUUAAUACUCCAUACGAUUGAGAAGGGGCAUCUCUUUUCAAUGAAAGCUCCGGCGGUUUUAGAUGAGCAUGCGUGACAUUAGCUUGUUGGUGAGGUAACGGCUCACCAAGGCGACGAUGUCUAGGGGUUCUGAGAGGAUUCUCCCCCACACUGGUACUGAGACACGGACCAGACUCCUACGGGAGGCAGCAGUAAGGAAUAUUGGGCAAUGGGCGCAAGCCUGACCCAGCCAUGCCGCGUGAAGGAUGACGGCCCUACGGGUUGUAAACUUCUUUUGUACGGGAAAAAACCCCCGGUCGUGUACCGGGGUUGAUGGUACUGUAAGAAUAAGCAUCGGCUAACUCCGUGCCAGCAGCCGCGGUAAUACGGAGGAUGCAAGCGUUAUCCGGAUUCAUUGGGUUUAAAGGGUGCGCAGGCGGAUUGGUAAGUCAGUGGUGAAAUCCUACGGCUCAACUGUAGAACUGCCAUUGAUACUACCAAUCUUGAGUACACUUGAAGUGGGCGGAAUGUGUCAUGUAGCGGUGAAAUGCUUAGAUAUGACACAGAACACCGAUCGCGAAGGCAGCUCACUAAAUUGUAACUGACGCUCAUGCACGAAAGCGUGGGGAUCAAACAGGAUUAGAUACCCUGGUAGUCCACGCUGUAAACGAUGAUCACUCGAUGUUGGCGAUACACUGUCAGCGUCUAAGCGAAAGCAUUAAGUGAUCCACCUGGGGAGUACGGCCGCAAGGUUGAAAC
Molecule: ribosomal RNA, 882 nt
Filed under: uncultured bacterium
Lineage: Bacteria
Description: bacterial SSU rRNA
Rfam family: Bacterial small subunit ribosomal RNA
Source: RNAcentral